Molecule: ribosomal RNA, 492 nt
Filed under: uncultured bacterium
Lineage: Bacteria
Description: partial 16S ribosomal RNA
Rfam family: Bacterial small subunit ribosomal RNA
Source: RNAcentral
AGUGAACGCUGGCGGUAGGCCUAACACAUGCAAGUCGAACGGCAGCACAGUAAGAGCUUGCUCUUACGGGUGGCGAGUGGCGGACGGGUGAGGAAUACAUCGGAAUCUACUUUUUCGUGGGGGAUAACGUAGGGAAACUAACGCUAAUACCGCAUACGACCUACGGGUGAAAGCAGGGGUUCUUCGGCCCUUGCCCGAUUGAUUGAGCCGAUGUCGGAUUAGCUAGUUGGCGGGGUAAAGGCCCACCAAGGCGACGAUCCGUAGCUGGUCUGAGAGGAUGAUCAGCCACACUGGAACUGAGACACGGUCCAGACUCCUACGGGAGGCAGCAGUGGGGAAUAUUGGACAAUGGGCGCAAGCCUGAUCCAGCCAUACCGCGUGAGUGAAGAAGGCCUUCGGGUUGUAAAGCCCUUUUGUUGGGAAAGAAAAGCAGCAGGUUAAUACCCCGCUGUUCUGACGGUACCCAAAGAAUAAGCACCGGCUAACUUCGUG